This 107-nucleotide small nucleolar RNA is filed under the name Olea europaea subsp. europaea. RNAcentral describes it as "Plant small nucleolar RNA R71". It matches the Rfam family "Plant small nucleolar RNA R71". From Rfam's summary of the family: R71 is a member of the C/D box family of snoRNAs containing the C (UGAUGA) and D (CUGA) box motifs. Multiple nearly identical copies of this snoRNA have been identified in Arabidopsis, and it is thought to function as a 2'-O-ribose methylation guide for 18S ribosomal RNA. The record is from Rfam by way of RNAcentral. Lineage: Eukaryota; Viridiplantae; Streptophyta; Magnoliopsida; Lamiales; Oleaceae.
AUGUAAAGGCUAGGGCAUUUCCUGAAAAAAUUCUCGAACCUUUCUCAUGCUUCAUGAUAGCUCUCUAAAUCUUUCUACUUGAAAGUGUGGACCUCAUUCCUGAUUUU